This 313-nucleotide ribosomal RNA is filed under the name uncultured bacterium. RNAcentral describes it as "partial 16S ribosomal RNA". It matches the Rfam family "Bacterial small subunit ribosomal RNA", at positions 9 to 314 of the family's 1533-position model. The record is from RNAcentral.
GAGUUUGAUCGUGGCUCAGGAUGAACGCUGGCGGCGUGCUUAAGACAUGCAAGUCGAACGCAGUCGCUCCGCAAGGGGCGGCUGAGUGGCGAAUGGGUGCGUAACACGUAGGUGACCUGCCCGGAAGUGGGGAAUAACAGUCCGAAAGGACUGCUAAUACCGCAUGCGGUGCACGGGUUUAGAAGCCGUGCUCCAAAGGUUUCCGCAAGGAAGCCGCUUUCGGAGGGGCCUGCGGCCCAUCAGCUAGUUGGUAGGGUAACGGCCUACCAAGGCGACGACGGGUAGGGGACCUGAGAGGGUGACCCCCCACACU